This is a long non-coding RNA of Equus caballus (horse), 5441 nucleotides long. NCBI's taxonomy places the organism in Eukaryota, Metazoa, Chordata, Mammalia, Perissodactyla, Equidae. The record is from Ensembl.
UCUAUUUCAGAUUUGCUCGCAUGACUUAAGAAACUUCAAAACUGUGUACCCUGCUUGCACAGCUCCGAAUUGGUAUGCAGAGGUGGCUAUUGCUACUGUGGUUGCCUUAUUACAGAAGUCGGCAAUGGCCACCCUCCCGGGGUGUGCCUGUGAAGACCGGAAAGGUAAAAGCAAGAAGACAGGAGAGGCCACCUUCACACACCCUUUCAAAUUGAUUAACCUUUAUGGCACGACAGCAUUGGACAAUAUUUUAAAAGUUCAAAAGAAGUUUUCUUCCUAAACAUUUACUUAGCUUUUGGCCUUGAGUUGAAGAGAAUCAAAGAUAUACACCAUUCCUAGAACCUAGAUACAAGAUCCAGGGGUUUUUUCCAAACCAGCAACUCUUGCAGAAUAUUCAUGAAACUCUACGGUGUGCGGCCAAGAAGACACCUGAACUCAAGCUGCAGAUCUGAUACGACUUCCCAAUGCGAUGGUGGGUGUAUGACGUGUGAGCCCUAAGUCCUGAAAGCUACACUCUUUAGAACAUGCUUCACACAUUGUAUUGGACCUGCCUUCUGAAUACUUUCUCUCCACGACUGUGGGUCCUGCUUAUAAAGCCUGUGCUGUCUUCAUCAAAGAACCUCCAGCAUCUAGCAUGACGCCUGGUGCAUAGCUACGUCACCGGCAUGACAGACGAGACACAAGUCCCAGGAGGGCAGGGCGUCUGUAGGGUUUGCUCACUGCUCUGUCCCAGUGCCUGGCACGUAGAGGUGCUCAGCAAGUAUUUGCUGAGUGAGCAUCAGGCCGUUGAGGAGUGGAAAGUCAAGUUCUCACCACCCAGAGGCGUGCCCCAGGAUUUCUCAGAUUGUUUCACUUGCACAGACUGAGGUAGCUUUAGCAGGAGGGAGGAUGGGAAGGGUGAGAGGCAGUGGCUGUGAAAGGCAGGGAGGGUGAGGCAUCUUCAACCUUGACCGUCACUCUUACCCUGAUACAGACGGGGCUCCAGCAGCCCAGCCACCUACUCUCCUGCCGACCACUGAGAUCUGAGAGUCAGGAAGCCAAGCUGCCUUUCUACAGAGUGAUGCUGCUUCAGAAGAUGACCGGAGCGUCCUUGUCGGCAGCCCCUCUGUCUCACACAUUGCAACUGCUUCCCACGCAGUCCUGCCCUGAUGCUCCCAGCCUUGCCCUUAAGUGACCCUGAAAGCUGCCUUUUUCCAGAUGAGGAGACGCAGCACAUUUUUGCCAUUGGCAGGCUCCCUCGGGCCAGGAUUCCUAAAUAGAUUUAAAUCGAACAACUUAUCUCUUGGAAACUGAUUAGCACCCUGAUGUUUGCUCAGCUGCCUAUGUUGAAAUCUACUCUUAUCCAUCAACUAGCAGAUAUGGAAUACCUCCUGGGAGUCUGGGACCCUGCUAGGUCCAGAGAAACAUGAAGUAGUCCACACCAGGAAGCAGUUUCCUCCUUGCCUGGGGAGGCCCGAGAAAGUAGAGGACAGCAGCUAGGUGCUUCAUCAUGUGACAUGUGACAUGGGUGCCAAGGUCGCAGCAGUUGAGGGACUGGAGGGUGACUGGGGAUGGCAGUAGGUGGGGGCUGUGAGGCUGAGACUCAAGCAGAUGGAGCACAGAAGUGGGGAAACACAGUCGUGAGGGUGGCUGGGAGCACAGGCAUGGGGGCAUGAUGUCUCAGGACACCUCAAGGAGGCCUGCCUGGAUAGAGCGCGUGUGCCAGGACACCUGGUCGACAGGGCUGACUAGCUGGGGCAGGGCCAGCCGCCAGGGGCCAUGGAAGGCCGUGACGUAUGAAGAAUUACACGGGUGAUUCUGAGAGGUCAACUUGCUCAGCAGGCAGAAUGGGAAACAGACCAGAGGCUGCAGGGACACCAACCAGAGAGGAGUGUGGCUGGCACGAGGUAGUGCAGGCUGGUCUGGGGUAGAUGGGGUGGGAAAGAAAGGAUAAGGCGAGGUAAGAACGGCAGGAUGUGGCGACAGAGUGGGUGCACUGGACGACAGAAAGAGAGGCUUUGGGCCCCAUGAGGUAAGAGGGGUCAAAAGUUUAGGGCAAAAUUCAAUGACACAAAAUUAGCAAGAGAGCUGUUUAAUUUCUUUUUAAAAAAAAUUGCAUCAUCUUUUUAAAUUAUGGUAAAAUACACAUAACAUGAAAUUUACCAUUUUAGACAUUUUUAAGUGUACAGUUCAGUGGCAUUAAGUACUUUCAUGAUGUUGCAUAACCAUCACCAGCACCCAUCUCCGGGACUCUUUCAUCUUCGUAAACUGAAGCUCUGUCCCCAUUAAACUAACUCCCCAUCCCAUCCCCAUCGCCCCUGGCAACCCCCAUUCUGCUUUCUGUCUCCAGGAAUCUGAUUCCUCUAGGGACCUCUUAUAAGUGGAAUCUUACAGUAUUUGUCCAUUUGUGACAGGCUUACUUCACUCAGUGCAACGUCCUAAAGGUUCAUCCAUGAUGUAGCAGGUGUCAGAAUUCCCUCCCUUUUUAAGACUGAACAGUAGCCCAUUGUAUGCAUAUACACAUUUUGUUUACCCAUCAUCUGUUGAUGGACACUUGGGUUGCUUCCACCUUCUGACUAUUGCGAAUAAUGCUGAUACGUAUAUGUGUGUACAAAUAUCUGUUCGAGUUCCUGCUUUCAAUUUAUCUUUCUCUUCUUGCAUUUUAUGAUAAGCAAAUCAAGUCAUUUCUUCAACAUUUUGCUUAUAAAUCUCUUCAGGUAAAUAUCCAGUUUUAUUGCUUGAAAGUUUUACCUUCCGCGAAACACUGGAACACAGAUCAUCCAAGUUCUUUGCCUUUUUAUACUAAGGAUCGCCUUUCCUCCAGUUUCCAAUAAGAUGUUCCUCAUUUCUGUGCGAGACUUUAUAAGAAAGGCCUUUAACAUCCAUAUUUCUGCCAGCAUUCUGUUCAUGACGAUAAAGGUAUUUUCUAAGAUGACAGAGGCUCUCUCUAGCUCUUCUCUUUCCUCCUGAGUCCUCACCAGAAUCGCCUUUAACAACCACGUAUCUCCCUAUAGUCACUUUAAGGCAAUCCAGGAUUUUUCUGGCAUGCAUCUUAAAACUUCCACCUCUACCCAUCACCCAGCUCCAACACCACUUCCACAUAUUUAGAUCUUCAUUACAGCAGCACCUUGCUUCUCAGCACCCAAAUCUGUAUUAGUCUGCCUGCAGACUAUGUGGCUUGAACAAUCGGAAUUUAUCUUCUCACAGUUCUGGAGGCUCGAUGUCCAAGAUGAAGACGCCAGCAAAUUCAGUUCCUGGCAAGAGCUCUCUUCCUGGCUUGCAGGCAACCACCUUCUUGCCAUGUCCUCACAUGGCCUCUGCUCUGUGCAUACGCGGAGAGAGAGAGAUCUCUUCUUAGAAAGACACCAGUUCUAUCAGACUAGGGUCCCACCCUUAUGACCUCAUCUAACCUUAAUUACCUUCUUAAAGGCCCUCUCUCCAAACACAGUCACACUGGGGUUUAGGGCUUCUACAUAUGAAAUUUGUUCCACAGCUCAGUCCAUAACAGCAUACAUCUCAUGGCCUUGUUUAGCUGGCUGUGACAUCAUGAAAUGAGUGCUGGACCUCAGUCAGGUCAAUUUCUCCCCUCAUCCAAGCCCGUCCUCCUUGGAAAGCCAUUUAACCACAAUGGGUCUCAGAAACGUCAUGGGGGAAAACGUGACCUUUUCUCAGAGUUGCACGAAAGGUUAAAUCCAAUCAUGAACGUGGAGACAUUUUAGUACCCCAAGGAAUUCCUAGUCACAGCCUUUGAGGUCCCCGCAAUGGUCUAACAGUCAAAUGACCAAAGCCUGUCUCUAUCCUCAUCGCUGGGCACACUCUUCACACUGACCUCUUGCCUGCUAGUAAGUGCGGGAGGAGAGCAUCCUCUUUUUAGGCACUGUUUGGGAAGAGAGAUGGAGGAUGGCAAACACUUUGUCUCAAAGGAGUCUCAGCUGUGUUCGGUCUCAGCAGGACCUGAGUGGGUGGUGGUGUCUGCCGUGGGUGUGGGGAGUGGGGCCAGACGUAGCCCAGACCAGCUGCGGCUCUGGUGGUCAAUCACUAGGCUCCUGUUUUUCAAUUUUCUAGGCUCUCAGUAACCCUCUUAUCACUCUCCAGUGCAGGAUUUGUUUUUCAAGGAUAUGGAAUCCUAAUGCCAGAAGGCGGUCCUAGAAGACAGGCCAGGGAAGUCCCUGGAACAUGAAGAGUGGAGCAGCAAAGAGUGUCCCCAGCCAGAGAGCCACGGUGGGGAGGUCAGUGCCGCGGUCGUUUCAGCAUCUGUGAGGGAGACCCACGCUGCCUGCAAAUCAUGUCCAGGGUGUGGUGGAAAUGCACAUCAACCUGGGUGGUCCUGCUGUCUAUUCCAGGAUAAAAUCCAAGCCUGCUGGAGGGUCAGGACAUAGCGGUGAAUUUAUGUGCCCAGCACCUAGUCUCUCACAUACAAGAUGCUGAAUGAAUGGAUGCCCAGAACGAGAGAUGGAACCAUUCACUAAUCCAUUAAACGAACAAUUGACAGCCACUAUGGGCCAGAUGCUGGACUAGAAUGGUAGGGAUACGGGGGUGAACAGGACAUGCUUCUGCCUCAAGGAAUCUGCUGUUUAGAGAAGAACACGCAGGCACACAGGAUGCCGCGACGUGGUGUUGUGAAUGUUGUGGCGAUGGUACAUGCACGGGGGGGGGCACCAAGAUGGCCACUGUGUCUGUCAGGAAGUUGAAAGUAUACAGCCUUUGCUGACUAAUAUCGUCACAGCCGUGGGAAAGCUGCUUCGUGUGGAGUGGAGGAAAAGGUCACUGGAGUGGAGAAAGUCAAGGAACUGAGAAGUAGACUGUCAGCUGGGCCAGCCAUAUAGACAUCGAAGUCACCAGAGUCGCGGUAGGACGUAGUAUAACGAAGACAAUGAGCAGUUGCCGAAGCCUCUAGAGCACAAGCGAGGGAGACUGAUCAGGAGGGUUAGGCGACAGCACAUCAGAGGGACAGGGUGUAGACUAGCCAGCCUGUGUGAGUCUCAAAGCUGUACAAGUGACAAGGAAGGGACAACUCCUCGUGCUGACCCUGAGGCUUGAGGAGAAUGAAGAGCAGCCAUAGGUGAGGGCUGCUGGGAAAGGGAUCCCUGACAUCCUCAGGAGAGGCCAACUCUGCCAAACACGUACAGGUGGGGAGUGCGCAGUGGGAGGCUCGAGGAUAGGGGUGUCCGUAGGUGAUGGGCCAGGAACUGCAAGAGAGGAAGGAAGGCUGGAUCAGGGCAGGAAGCUUCCAGCUCUCUGGAGGGGAAAAUAUUUUCAUAUCAAAGAUUUGUGAUGUGGUUGAACCAAGAGAAGGACAUAAUGUUAUAAAAAUAUACAUUGCUAAACACAAGUCAUAAUCAAUUUAUAGUGAUAAUUCCUAUCUACCAUGUUCAAGUAAUCUGUGUAACAUAUUCAUGCCCCACAUUUUAAUCUUGCUAACCCUAAGGAUAAGAAGAUAAGAGAUGAUAGAUGAGAAAGAG